RNAcentral lists this ribosomal RNA (491 nucleotides) under uncultured bacterium. RNAcentral describes it as "bacterial SSU rRNA". It matches the Rfam family "Bacterial small subunit ribosomal RNA", at positions 261 to 773 of the family's 1533-position model. The record is from RNAcentral.
CGGCCCACCAAACCGACGAUCAGUAGCCGGCCUGAGAGGGCGACCGGCCACAUUGGGACUGAGACACGGCCCAAACUCCUACGGGAGGCAGCAGUGGGGAAUAUUGCACAAUGGGGGAAACCCUGAUGCAGCGACGCCGCGUGAGCGAAGAAGUAUUUUCGGUAUGUAAAGCUCUAUCAGCAGGGAAGAUAAUGACGGUACCUGACUAGAGCCCCGGCUAACUACGUGCCAGCAGCCGCGGUAAUACGUAGGGGGCAAGCGUUAUCCGGAUUUACUGGGUGUAAGGGAGCGUAGACGGCAAGGCAAGUCUGAUGUGAAAACCCAGGGGCUUAACCCUGGGACUGCAUUGGAACUGUCUGGCUCGAGUGCCGGAGAGGUAAGCGGAAUUCCUAGUGUAGCGGUGAAAUGCGUAGAUAUUAGGAAGAACACCAGUGGCGAAGCGGCUUACUGGACGGUAACUGACGUUGAGGCUCGAAGCGUGGGGAGCAAAC